This 415-nucleotide long non-coding RNA is filed under the name Canis lupus familiaris (dog). Its description in RNAcentral is "lncRNA (ENSCAFG00030006134.1)". The record is from RNAcentral. Lineage: Eukaryota; Metazoa; Chordata; Mammalia; Carnivora; Canidae.
GAAAAAUAUAAUAAAAGAAGGAAAAAAUUAGAUAUAUUUAUUUAUUGAUUGCACAUUGAAAGGAACCAAACUUAAAAUACUGAUCUAAAAAAUAUAUCUCGAUACUUAAAAAAAAAAACACAGAGAUUCUAAAGAGGCAAUGAUAAGAGGACCCACAGCUCUUCUUUCUUGAAUAUACUUCACAAGUAAGUGCCCUUAUGGGAGAAACUACUGUGUGAGUGAGAUACAUCAAAAUAAGAUAAAAACUUUUUUUUUUUUUUUUUUUCGCAGAAAUAGUCUCAGAGGUAAAACAGCUGAGGUAUGUCACCAGCUAAGAGAAGAAAAAUCAUGCCUGGUAAAGCAGAGUACUUUAUAAGAUGACUGAUAAAACCCCAUUUAGUAAAUGUUGGCUCAGAAGAUAAUGAGAAUUAGAGGA